GCUUGCUUCAGCAGUACAUGCUUUAGCAUGUACUAAAAUUGGAAAAAUACAGAGAACAUUAGCAUGUGGCCACACAAAUAUGACACACAUAUUUGUGAAGCAUUCCAUAUUUUU
This 114-nucleotide small nuclear RNA is filed under the name Microcebus murinus (gray mouse lemur). Lineage: Eukaryota; Metazoa; Chordata; Mammalia; Primates; Cheirogaleidae. The record is from RNAcentral.